AUAUAUUGGGCCUAAAGGCCCAUUAGUGAACUGUAAAGUAAAAUUUCCAUUAUUUUUUUAAGACAUAUUUCCUUUUUUUCUCUUUAGGCGGUGGUGGUCAUAAAACCAGGCCUAUAUAUAUAUGUGUAGCGACUCUGUUUCGUUUUUCCCAGAGACCUACGAAUCCUUCGGCUGCGAUCUCUAGGGUUGUUUCCUUUUUGUAGCCGCUGGAUUGUUUACCAAUUGGCGUAGGUUUCGUUACUUUGGUUUUCGAUUUAGGGUUGAUCGUUAACAAAUAAAAAUUGGAGGUGCAUGAUGAUAUUCGGAUCUAAAUCGGUGUAUACAAAUGCCUCGGCUCAGGAAAAGAAUGGUGGUGGUGCAUCCGAUUUGGUCCUGAAUCGUUUAAUACAAAUCCCUCGGUGUCCCGGUAAGAGAAUUAUGGUGGUGCAUAAUAAUUGGUCCCGCGCGAACCUCUGUUAAAAAAACCCUUAUUGGGAAAGACCGAAAGAGUGUGGUGCAUGAUACGUUGGUCCGAGAUUGUUCAAUAGUUGCCUUGGUUAAAAACCAGAUCGGUAUAAAAAGCCUCGGUUACAAAUAAAUUGGUGGUAGUGCAUACUAUUUGGUCCCGAUUCUAUUCAAAUGCCUCUGUUAAAAACCCAUUCUAAGUUUAUCUCGGUAAGCUUAUGAUUGGGAAAAUUAUCUUGGUAAGCUUAUGAGUGUGGUCCCUGAUCCCUUUUGCUAUUCAAAUGCCUCUGUUAAAGAAACCCAUUCUUGCUUAUCACAAUAAGCUUAUGAUUGGGAAAAGAGUGUGGUGCAUGAUAAUACUUAGUCCCGAUUCUAUUCAAAUGCCUCUGUUAAAACCCAAUUCUAAGCUUAUCUCGGUAAGUUUGUGAUUGGGAAAAGAGUGUGGUGCAUGAUACUUGGUCCCGAUUCUAUUCAAAUGCCUCGGUCAAAAACCCAUUCUAAGCUUAUAAUUGUGAUAAGCUUAUGAUUGGGAAAGAGUUGUGGUGCAUGCAUGAUACUUGGUCCCAGUCCCAGUUUGUUCUAACAAUUGCCUUACUUAAACAGGCUUAUAAAUGAUUAAGGGUAUGGUGCAUGAUACUCUGUCCCGGAUUCUUUAUUUGAAUGCCUUGGUUAAAAGGUAAAAAAAAACCUAUUGGAAGCUAAUCUUAAUAAGCAUGGGAAUGUGAUAAGAGUGUGGUGCAUGAUACUUGGUCCCGGAUUGUCCGUACAAAUGCCUCUGUUAAAAUCCUAAUUGUAAGCUAAACUUAUAAAUGGGAAAGAGUAUGGUUGGUUCAUGAUACUAUGUCUGGAUGGUCUAUACAAAUGCCUCGGUUAAAAAACAUGUGGUAAGCUCAUAACAAGGUUAUGAUUGGGAAAGAGUGUGGUGCAUGAUACUUGGUCCCAUAUUGUACAAAAACAGUUGCUUGGUUUGCAAGCUAAUUUCAAUGCGUUCAUAAAAUGAAAAAGAGAUGGUGCAUGAUAUACUUUGGUCCCAGAUUCACUAUUUAGAUGCCUUGGUUAAAAAGUAAAACCCAUUGUAAGCUAUUGGAAGCUAAUCUUAAUAAGCUAGGAAUGUGAAAGAGUGUGGUGCAUGAUAGUCGGUCCCGGUUUAUCAAUACAAAUGCCUCUGUUCAAAUCCCAAUUGUAAGCUAAGCUUAUAAAUGGGAAAGAGUAUGGUUGGUUCAUGAUACUAGGUCCGGAUUGGGAAAGAGUAUGGUUGGUUCUUGAUACUAGGUCCGGAUUACAAAUGCCUCGGUAAAAACCCCAUAAGCUAAUCGUAAUAAGCAUAUGAUUGGAAAGAGUGUGGUGCAUGAUACUUGGUCCCAGUCCCAGAUUGUUCUAAAAAUUACCUUUGGUUAAAUACCAGAUUGCAAGCUGAUGUUAAUAAGCUUUUACACAUGAAAAUGAUUAUGGUGCAUGAUACUAGAUCCCUGAUUCUCUAGUCAAAUGCCUUGGUUAAGCUUGGGAAUGUGAAAGAGUGUGGUGCAUGAUACUUGGUCUCGGAUUGUCAGUACAAAUGCCUCGGUUAAAACCCUACUGUAAGCUAAGCUUAUAAAUGGGGAAGAGUAUGGUUGGUUCAUGAUACUAGGUCCGGAUUGUAAAAAAAAACUGUUGUAAGCUAGUCAUAACAAGCUUGUGUAAAGAGUGUGGUGCAUGAUACUUGGUCCCAGUCCCAUAUUGUUAAAACAAUUGCCUUGGUUAAAAACCAUAUUGCAAGCUAAUAUCAAUAAGCUUUUGUAAAUGAGCUUGGGAAGGGGAAAGAGUGUGGUGCAUGAUACUUGGUCCCGGAUUGUCCGUACAAAUCCCAUUGUAAGCUAAUCAUAUGAACGGGAACUGGUAUGGUGCAUGAUACUUUGAUUCCUGAUCGUCUAUUCAAGUGCCUCAGUUAAAAGAACGCAUCCUAAGCCAAUAGGUGAAUGCUGUUGCAUGGCACUUUGUCCCAAAUUGUCUAUUCAAAGGGCACGACUCCGUUAAAAAAACCAUUACAAGUUCAUCAAGAGCUUAUGAAUGGGAAGGUGUAGAUGGUGGUGCAUGCAGAGCCGGCCCUUCACACAGGCAGAUGAAGCAUCUGCUUGUGGCCUCCAAAUUAUAUAGUUGAUAUUCGGCCGAAUUUUUCUGAAAGUUUCAUUGGUUUUACUGGUUAAGACUAAGAGUUACUCUUCCAAGGGUCAAGGGAUCGAAUCUCCAUUUCAUUUUUUUUCUGUUUUUCAAGUCUUUUUCAAAAAAAGUAAUGUAUAGUAGGCCAAAAAAAAAAAUGGGCUUGUGGCCUUAAUAUCUUCAGAGCCGGCUCUGGGUGCAUGAUAUUUGGUCCCGAGAAGAUUAUAAAAUUGCCUCAGAUCAUCAAGAACUGAUGAAUAGGACAAAGAUGCAUGAUACUCUGAUCCAAAUGUCCAUAAAAAUGCCUCAUUGGUUAUAAGAUCCAUACUGUCAAGCUGAUUAAUGGAAAAAGGGUGGAUGGUGGUGCAUGAUACUUGGUCCCGAACUGUCUAUAAGCAUCGGGUUCGGCUAAAAAUCAAUCAUAAGCUCAUUUGAGCUUUAUGAGUGGUGGUGCAUGAUAGGAAUAUGUUUCGUCUUGAUUUAUCAAAUGCCUCGGCUCGGCUUAAAGUCCUUAUACUCAUAGGGAGCUUAUGAAUGGUAAAUGGUGGUGCAUGAUUGGAACUAUGUCCCGUGUUCAUUUAUAAAAAUGCCUCGACUCGGUGAAAAACUCUUGAUAAGCUAAGCGAAGUUUAAGAAUGAGAGAAAGCCAGAAAGGUGGAUGGCGGUGCAUGAUAACUAGUGGAGAGAGGGGUUAUUUGAUAAUGAUCAGCUAUAACACAUCACAAGUAAUUGGAGACUAAUGCGUGAGAAAAGGGUUUAAACCAAUUCUUUUGGUAGAAUUCAAAUGGUCUUAAUUCUAGAUGGUGUUGUCAACAUGUUAAUCUUAAUCUCUAAAACUAUUUAGAAUUUGCAUGCUACUUUCAUAUUUUGUAAAAAGAGACUGAUUUUCUAAAAAUGGUUGUUAUAUUGUGCAGGUAAUAAAGGUAUUUGAUCUUGGAGCAACAGAAAUACGAGAAGUUUCUUCCUCGUAGUCGUUUAUUGAUCCAUGUAAGGUU
This 3575-nucleotide long non-coding RNA is filed under the name Arabidopsis lyrata. Its description in RNAcentral is "long non-coding RNA (ALYR_LNC002291)". Lineage: Eukaryota; Viridiplantae; Streptophyta; Magnoliopsida; Brassicales; Brassicaceae. The record is from RNAcentral.